Molecule: ribosomal RNA, 253 nt
Filed under: uncultured bacterium
Lineage: Bacteria
Description: partial 16S ribosomal RNA
Rfam family: Bacterial small subunit ribosomal RNA
Source: RNAcentral
UACAGAGGGGGCAAGCGUUGUUCGGAAUUACUGGGCGUAAAGCGCACGUAGGCGGUCAGGCAAGUCGGGUGUGAAAGCCCUGGGCUCAACCUGGGAAUUGCAUUCGAAACUAUCUGACUCGAGUAUGGGAGAGGGAAGCGGAAUUUCCGGUGUAGCGGUGAAAUGCGUAGAUAUCGGAAGGAACACCAGUGGCGAAGGCGGCUUCCUGGACUAAUACUGACGCUGAGGUGCGAAAGCGUGGGGAGCAAACAGG